AAAGCACACCUGAAAAAUGCCCUCAUAAGACCAACUAAAUGAUCAAUAAAGUAAAUUAGUAUUUUAAGACUAAUGACUUCUUCACCGCAAGACAAUGGCUAAAAGAACAUAGGUUCAAAAUGUAUAGAGAAAUGCUUCCUCCACCACGAGUCAGCCUCCUCAUUUUCUGCAGCAUUUUCCAUCUGUGUCAUUGGCGUAGUACACACGUGCCUGACCUAGAUGUUUACUGGCAUUUGCAGCAUCGUGAUUAUCUUCCUCAUCAUUAUCUUUGAAGCCCAACUGAAAUGAUGCCCUGUAACUACGGGUCUGUGAGUUGUUUUGGAACAGGAUGUAUCAGCCUGUCAGCAUUGUUUGAGAGCUCAAGAACUAUUUGCUGACUAGCUAAAGAAUCUUCAGGUUGAAACAGAAUCUUAAAGAUCUGAGGUAAAUGAAUACAGUUAAGUGUAACUGAAGAGGAACCGGUAAGAAAAGCAACAGAACUGAAGAAUAGCAAUUUCCCCGAGAGAGAGAGAGUGAAAGAAAAAGUAAGUAAAGGAAACAAGAAUGAAAAGUAGUUUAUCAUACAUCGAGUAGAAAAUCAC
Equus caballus (horse) is the source of this 581-nucleotide long non-coding RNA. RefSeq lists it as uncharacterized. NCBI's taxonomy places the organism in Eukaryota, Metazoa, Chordata, Mammalia, Perissodactyla, Equidae. The record is from RefSeq and is a predicted model, not a curated record.